RNAcentral lists this ribosomal RNA (798 nucleotides) under uncultured bacterium. RNAcentral's name for it is "bacterial SSU rRNA". It matches the Rfam family "Bacterial small subunit ribosomal RNA", at positions 69 to 839 of the family's 1533-position model. The record is from RNAcentral.
GAUUUUAGUGCUUGCACUAAAUGAAACUAGAUACAAGCGAGCGGCGGACGGGUGAGUAACACGUGGGUAACCUGCCCAAGAGACUGGGAUAACACCUGGAAACAGAUGCUAAUACCGGAUAACAACACUAGACGCAUGUCUAGAGUUUGAAAGAUGGUUCUGCUAUCACUCUUGGAUGGACCUGCGGUGCAUUAGCUAGUUGGUAAGGUAACGGCUUACCAAGGCAAUGAUGCAUAGCCGAGUUGAGAGACUGAUCGGCCACAUUGGGACUGAGACACGGCCCAAACUCCUACGGGAGGCAGCAGUAGGGAAUCUUCCACAAUGGACGAAAGUCUGAUGGAGCAACGCCGCGUGAGUGAAGAAGGGUUUCGGCUCGUAAAGCUCUGUUGGUAGUGAAGAAAGAUAGAGGUAGUAACUGGCCUUUAUUUGACGGUAAUUACUUAGAAAGUCACGGCUAACUACGUGCCAGCAGCCGCGGUAAUACGUAGGUGGCAAGCGUUGUCCGGAUUUAUUGGGCGUAAAGCGAGUGCAGGCGGUUCAAUAAGUCUGAUGUGAAAGCCUUCGGCUCAACCGGAGAAUUGCAUCAGAAACUGUUGAACUUGAGUGCAGAAGAGGAGAGUGGAACUCCAUGUGUAGCGGUGGAAUGCGUAGAUAUAUGGAAGAACACCAGUGGCGAAGGCGGCUCUCUGGUCCGCAACUGACGCUGAGGCUCGAAAGCAUGGGUAGCGAACAGGAUUAGAUACCCUGGUAGUCCAUGCCGUAAACGAUGAGUGCUAAGUGUUGGGAGGUUUCCGCCUC